UCCUACGGGGGGCUGCAGUGAGGAAUAUUGGUCAAUGGGCGCAAGCCUGAACCAGCCAUCCCGCGUGAAGGAAGAAGGCGCUAUGCGUCGUAAACUUCUUUUCCGGAGGAAUAAAAUUUCGUACGUGUACGGGACUGAAGGUACUCUGGGAAUAAGCAUCGGCUAACUCCGUGCCAGCAGCCGCGGUAAUACGGAGGAUGCGAGCGUUAUCCGGAUUUAUUGGGUUUAAAGGGUGCGUAGGCGGAAAAAUAAGUCAGUGGUGAAAACCUUCAGCUUAACUGGAGACUUGCCAUUGAUACUGUUAUUCUUGAGUAUAGUUAAGGUAGGCGGAAUGUGUAAUGUAGCGGUGAAAUGCUUAGAUAUUACACAGAACACCAAUUGCGAAGGCAGCUUACUGAGCUAUAACUGACGCUGAUGCACGAAAGCGUGGGGAGCGAACAGGAUUAGAUACCCCGGUAGUCC
RNAcentral lists this ribosomal RNA (462 nucleotides) under uncultured Bacteroidales bacterium. Its description in RNAcentral is "bacterial SSU rRNA". It matches the Rfam family "Bacterial small subunit ribosomal RNA", at positions 337 to 796 of the family's 1533-position model. The record is from RNAcentral. Lineage: Bacteria; Pseudomonadati; Bacteroidota; Bacteroidia; Bacteroidales.